Molecule: ribosomal RNA, 231 nt
Filed under: uncultured bacterium
Lineage: Bacteria
Description: partial 16S ribosomal RNA
Rfam family: Bacterial small subunit ribosomal RNA
Source: RNAcentral
GAUCCUGGCUCAGGAUGAGCGCUAGCGGCAGGCUUAACACAUGCAAGUCGAGGGGCAGCAUAAUGGAUAGCAAUAUCUAUGGUGGCGACCGGCGCACGGGUGCGUAACGCGUAUGCAACCUACCUUUAACAGGGGGAUAACACUGAGAAAUUGGUACUAAUACCCCAUAAUAUCAUAGAAGGCAUCUUUAUGGUUGAAAUUACCGAUGGUUAGAGAUGGGCAUGCGUUGUA